UCCCUCACACGGGGCCCGCACGGCCACCCCGCGCAUGCGGGCUGGGGCGGCGCCACCGGAGGGGCCACGGGCGGCGGAGGCUGCGGCAGCCCGGGGUUGCCAUGGAGCGGGAGCGCCGGCUCCGCGCUCCCUGCGCCGGGAAGGCUCUGCGCAAGAAACGCCGCUCGUCCCCUCUACCGGAGGCGGCCGCUCUCCCGGGCAGCCGGGCCGGCGGCUCUCAGAUGUGCCGGCGGCGCCUGUUCGGGAGCGCGGGGCCUCGCGGGCCCGAGCCCGCCUGUAAGCGCCUGUCCCGGGCGGCGGCGGAGCUUGGGGUGCAGGAGGCGGGGCCCGCACCGGCGGGAAAAGGUCUGAAGAAAAAGUCCAGUGGGAAAAAAUUACCAAAGAUUAAAGAAAAUGUUGAAUAUACUGAAGAGAGCUCUUCAUGCAACCAAAGCAAUCAAGUGACUGGCAGGAAAACAACAGACUUUAAGAGGAAAGAAGAGGUGCCAGAAGAAAGCAAUGUACCACUGAAGGAUUCCAAAAUAAUCAACUUUGGAUAUAAAGGAAGUUUGAAAAAUGCUGAAGUGACCUCAAGUACAGAAAUUACUCUUCCCACAGGUGUUUCCACCUUCCUCAUAGAGUGUUUAGAUGAAGAUUCAGCUGCAGAUUAUAGCUCUGCUAGCAACAGCCUGCAAACGUACUCAUCCCCUGAAACAUUCAGAGAUGAUGAUUUGGAAAGAUGCAAUUUUUACUCUAUGGACCUUGGCAAGUACAAGAACUCUACUCUCCUGGACUCCAGCAAAGCAAUGACCAUUGAUAAGAUACCACAGAUGUCAAAUCUUUCAGCAAUAUUAGAACCUGUACCAGAGGAUUUUCCAAACCAACGCACAAAAAGAAAGAGACCAUCAAGUUGCUAUAAUAGUUCUUCAGCAUUAAGCGUUUCAGCUACACUGGCAGGAAAAAAACUCUGUAAAAUAACAGCUGCAAGAGAGAGAACUCCAGAUCUAAAAAGUGGUAUGCGCUGUUCUUCACCAUUAGGACCGGAAAGCAAGUAUGGUACUCGAACAGCUAAAGCCAAAAGACUGAAGAAAAAAGAAAGCAGUUUUAAUCCCUUUGUAGAAGGUUCAUCAUCAUUUAGGCAGCUUGAUGCCCCAGAAAACACGUCAGCCCGAUCAGAGGGGCUGACAGCAGAAGUUCUGCCAAGCAAACCCACAGAUGCUGUGGUGCAAAUGACUUCCACCAUGCUAAUCAUGGAGGAAAAUAAAGUCCUAAAAAAUCCUGGUAAUGCUCAGCCUCUCGAGCUAGAUCUUAGCCUGUCGCCGGUGUGUAAAGCCUCACCUGGGGAAGACCUGUUCCUGAAUACCACGGGUCUUUUUGUUAACUCAGAAGAAAUUGUUCCUGCAUCUCUGAGCUCAGAAAAAGAAAUGACUCCUCAAAGUCCAGAAGAAAAGAAUAUUUUAAAGCCUCAGCGUGACAGACGGGAGAUGGAGAUCUGCUCCAUUGUGAGAAUGUCACCAGAGCCGAGGCCUUCCCGGCUGCACCAAGUCCCAGUUAACUCCAAAAAGUGCUACCUUCCCAAAGGACUGCCUGAAGAUUCUAUAACGAGUACCAAGAAUUGGAUCUGCUAUAAACGGAGAUGAGAUUUUUGGCUCUCAACAGGAGUUAACAGAAGAAAUUACUGUCUUGCUGCUGUGACAGGGUGGUAAAACAGAACUCCUAACUAGCAAAUAAUGGUUGUAUGUUGUUUGACAUUGUAUUGUAUUUUGUACAACAUUGUAUGUUGUUUGACAUUUAGUAUUACGUGUUUCAGUAAGCUGGUAAAUACUCAGAUACUUUAUAUUAAAUGAUUUUGUACAGCAGCUAGAUCUUGUUCUGGGCAUUAUUCUGUAAGGAUUCCAUAAAGAUGAUUCUUCAGUUUGUUUAGAUUUUUAAAAAGUUUGACUGAAGAACAGCAGACCAAAUGCCUUUAAUAGAAUUACUUUUGGCUCUCUCUCUGCUAAGAUUUCUAGUUUUCUCUAGCAGCAUUAGUAUCUAAAGAUGGGACCUCUGUUUAAGUGUUAACAUUGACUGUGAAGGUAACUGCAUGUCCUGGGAGUGGCCAUGAGAGCAUUCAUGUACUCUUGGAGACCCAGAAGUCAAUAGUAUGCCACCUUUAAACUCCUUCAAUGCUUAGGUCUGCAGAACUUUGGAUGACUGUGAGUUCUGCUGUAAUUUGAUUCCUGAACAUGACUACAGGUCAUCUUCACCCCAUCAUCUCUGAGAAUUGGCUCCUAAUGAUCAGCACUGACACCAUUCUGGACAUAUCCACUGCCCAGCCACUGCCAUCUCAGAGUUCUUCCUGCUUCAUCUCAGGUGUUUUGUAAUAUCACAUCUCUCAGUCAUUUUUCCUUCUAGUGGCUUCAGACUUCAAGUAAAUGCCUUAUGUGAACACAAUGGUGGGAAAAACCCUUUUGCAGCUGAACUGUUUGAAGAGAUGGAUAUUGAUGUUCUGGAUUUUCAGGUUACUGCUCACACUAUGUCCACAUAAUUCAAAUUCCCAGUGCUUCCAGUUCAGGUUGGGAUUGUUAAUUCAUAAAUGUUGUUCUUAAUGUGCUGAAUGUCUCAGAAAACACUGUCAAGAACAAUUUUUUUCUGCUUGACUUCAUUGCACAUUUAAGUAAUUUGGAGCCCUACAGUGUUCUCAUUACAAUAUCCUUUACUCAGACUUUCUCUGGACAAAAAGGAAGUUUUUCAAUGUUACAAAAUGCUAGUAUGGCUUUCAAAAGUCUAAGUUUGUUUCUCAGUGUUAUCACCCUGGAAAAUAGUUCUGUAUUUCCUAAAAGAGCAUUAAAAGAAGACAUACAAAAUCCACAACUGUAGUUUGACUGCAUUUGAAAAUACCUGUAAAAGUUCAAACCCUGAUCUUUUCCCCAUUGCUCUGGGGUAGAAGGAAGUGCAAAUAAUUGCUGCUGGAUUAGUCUGUGAACAAGUAUUAUAUAAACAUUCUGAAUGGCUCAAGGUUAAAAAUUAUGCCAUUAAGCUAUUUUUCUUUUAAGCAUUAAUAGAACGAGUUCUGCCAAUAACUCCUUGGAGUCCUGUUGGGUAUGCUUUUAAUUAUCAAUAUCCUUGUUCUUGCAAAUACUAAAUCACUAGUAAUUAUGCAGGAAUCUAGAGCCCCUAGGAGACAGAGGUGAGCUCCUUGAUGUAGCUUUAAGCAAAAAUGAAAGUUACAUAUUUAGUAAGUUUACUUGAAUAAUCAUCAUAAUGCUUAUGAUGAUUAUUCAAGUAAAGGAUGGUCCACAAUAAAGAUGUUUAUUGUAAGGAUGUUCUGGAAGUC
Molecule: long non-coding RNA, 3295 nt
Organism: Zonotrichia albicollis (white-throated sparrow)
Lineage: Eukaryota; Metazoa; Chordata; Aves; Passeriformes; Passerellidae
Source: Ensembl